RNAcentral lists this ribosomal RNA (468 nucleotides) under uncultured bacterium. Its description in RNAcentral is "partial 16S ribosomal RNA". It matches the Rfam family "Bacterial small subunit ribosomal RNA", at positions 28 to 507 of the family's 1533-position model. The record is from RNAcentral.
GACGAACGCUGGCGGCGUGCUUAACACAUGCAAGUCGAACGGAAAGGCCCUGCUUUUGUGGGGUGCUCGAGUGGCGAACGGGUGAGUAACACGUGAGUAACCUGCCCUUGACUUUGGGAUAACUUCAGGAAACUGGGGCUAAUACCGGAUAGGAGCUCCUGCUGCAUGGUGGGGGUUGGAAAGUUUCGGCGGCUGGGGAUGGACUCGCGGCUUAUCAGCUUGUUGGUGGGGUAGUGGCUUACCAAGGCUUUGACGGGUAGCCGGCCUGAGAGGGUGACCGGCCACAUUGGGACUGAGAUACGGCCCAGACUCCUACGGGAGGCAGCAGUGGAGAAUAUUGCACAAUGGGCGGAAGCCUGAUGCAGCAACGCCGCGUGCGGGAUGACGGCCUUCGGGUUGUAAACCGCUUUCGCCUGUGACGAAGCGUGAGUGACGGUAAUGGGUAAAGAAGCACCGGCUAACUACGUG